RNAcentral lists this transfer RNA (85 nucleotides) under Felis catus (domestic cat). It matches the Rfam family "tRNA". Rfam says of the family: Transfer RNA (tRNA) molecules are approximately 80 nucleotides in length. Their secondary structure includes four short double-helical elements and three loops (D, anti-codon, and T loops). Lineage: Eukaryota; Metazoa; Chordata; Mammalia; Carnivora; Felidae. The record is from Rfam by way of RNAcentral.
GCCUGGGUGGCUCAGUCAGUUGAGCAUCCGACUUCGGCUCAGGUCACGAUCUCACAGUUUGUGGGUUCGAGUCCCGCAUCAGGCU